RNAcentral lists this RNase MRP RNA (398 nucleotides) under Suillus luteus UH-Slu-Lm8-n1. Its description in RNAcentral is "RNase MRP". It matches the Rfam family "RNase MRP". Rfam says of the family: RNase MRP is an enzymatically active ribonucleoprotein with two distinct roles in eukaryotes. In mitochondria it plays a direct role in the initiation of mitochondrial DNA replication. The record is from Rfam by way of RNAcentral. Lineage: Eukaryota; Fungi; Basidiomycota; Agaricomycetes; Boletales; Suillaceae.
GCAUCGUUUGAAGAUUCGCUGUCGCAGCACACGCACGGAAAGGUUUCACUUUCUUCUUUGGCUGCGGGGAAAGUCCCCGGAGAAACAGGGUUAUAUCUUCUCGUUCGCAAUGGAAAUCUCCCAGCUCUAAGAGCGCUGCGGGGAACGAGACUGGUCGGGAAGGUCGAUUUACUGGACUUGUUGCCAUCAGGCUCAGGACCAGUUCCGCUUGCCUACCUUGUUGCUUUCUUGACUCCGAAUACUCUUCCAACUGCACGGCUAUGCGAAGAUAUGAGCGUGGUCGUGUUUGGGUAUCUUGGACGACGGUUGGCGCUUCGUUGCUCAUAGACAUAGUUAUGCGAUUGUCGACACUGCUUCUGGCAUGUCAUCAACUCAAUGGGGCUCACUCUCAUUCGAUG